AGUCGAGCGGAAACGAUGGGAGCUUGCUCCCAGGCGUCGAGCGGCGGACGGGUGAGUAACACGUGGGAAUCUGCCCAUUAGUGGGGGAUAACUCGGGGAAACUCGAGCUAAUACCGCAUAAUCCCUACGGGGGAAAGCAGGGGAUCUUCGGACCUUGCGCUGAUGGAUGAGCCCGCGUCGGAUUAGCUUGUUGGUGGGGUAAUGGCCCACCAAGGCGACGAUCCGUAACUGGUCUGAGAGGAUGGCCAGUCACACCGGGACUGAGACACGGCCCGGACUCCUACGGGAGGCAGCAGUGGGGAAUCUUGGACAAUGGGCGCAAGCCUGAUCCAGCCAUGCCGCGUGUGUGAAGAAGGCCUUCGGGUUGUAAAGCACUUUCAGUAGGGAGGAAGGCUUUGGGCUAAUACCCUGGAGUACUUGACGUUACCUACAGAAGAAGCACCGGCUAAUUUCGUGCCAGCAGCCGCGGUAAUACGAAAGGUGCGAGCGUUAAUCGGAAUUACUGGGCGUAAAGCGCGCGUAGGCGGUGUGUUAAGUCGGAUGUGAAAGCCCAGGGCUCAACCUUGGAAUGGCAUCCGAUACUGGCACGCUAGAGUGCAGUAGAGGGAGGUGGAAUUUCCGGUGUAGCGGUGAAAUGCGUAGAGAUCGGAAGGAACACCAGUGGCGAAGGCGGCCUCCUGGACUGACACUGACGCUGAGGUGCGAAAGCGUGGGGAGCAAACAGGAUUAGAUACCCUGGUAGUCCACGCUGUAAACGAUGUCUACUAGCCGUUGGGGUCCUUAGUGACUUUGGUGGCGCAGCUAACGCGAUAAGUAGACCGCCUGGGGAGUACGGCCGCAAGGUUAAAACUCAAAUGAAUUGACGGGGGCCCGCACAAGCGGUGGAGCAUGUGGUUUAAUUCGAUGCAACGCGAAGAACCUUACCAGGCCUUGACAUCCUGCGAACUUUCU
Molecule: ribosomal RNA, 951 nt
Filed under: Alcanivorax sp.
Lineage: Bacteria; Pseudomonadati; Pseudomonadota; Gammaproteobacteria; Oceanospirillales; Alcanivoracaceae
Description: bacterial SSU rRNA
Rfam family: Bacterial small subunit ribosomal RNA
Source: RNAcentral